AUUGCCCUAGUAACGGCGAGUGAAGCGGCAACAGCUCAAAUUUGAAAUCUGGCUCUUUCAGGGUCCGAGUUGUAAUUUGCAGAGGGCGCUUUGGCGUUGGCAGCGGUCCAAGUUCUUUGGAACAGGACGUCACAGAGGGUGAGAAUCCCGUACGUGGUCGCUAGCCUUCGCCGUGUAAAGCCCCUUCGACGAGUCGAGUUGUUUGGGAAUGCAGCUCUAAAUGGGAGGUAAAUUUCUUCUAAAGCUAAAUACUGGCCAGAGACCGAUAGCGCACAAGUAGAGUGAUCGAAAGAUGAAAAGCACUUUGGAAAGAGAGUCAAAUAGCACGUGAAAUUGUUGAAAGGGAAGCGCUUGCAGCCAGACUUGCCUGUAGUUGCUUAUCUGGACUUUUGUCCGGUGCACUCUUCUGCGGGCAGGCCAGCAUCAGUUUGGGCGGUUGGAUAAAGGUCUCUGUCAUGUACCUCCUUUCGGGGAGGCCUUAUAGGGGAGACGACAUGCAACCAGCCUGGACUGAGGUCCGCGCAUCUGCUAGGAUGCUGGCGUAAUGGCUGUAAGCGGCCCGUCUUGAAACACGGACCAAGGAGUCUAACAUCUAUGCGAGUGUUUGGGUGUCAAGCCCAGACGCGUAAUGAAAGUGAACGGAGGUGGGAACCCUUUGGGUGCACCAUCGACCGAUCCUGAUGUCUUCGGAUGGAUUUGAGUAAGAGCAUGGCUGUUGGGACCCGAAAGAUGGUGAACUAUGCUUGAAUAGGGUGAAGCCAGAGGAAACUCUGGUGGAGGCUCGCAGCGGUUCUGACGUGCAAAUCGAUCGUCAAAUUUGGGCAUAGGGGCGAAAGAC
Molecule: ribosomal RNA, 838 nt
Filed under: Phaeosphaeria penniseti
Lineage: Eukaryota; Fungi; Ascomycota; Dothideomycetes; Pleosporales; Phaeosphaeriaceae
Description: partial large subunit ribosomal RNA
Rfam family: Eukaryotic large subunit ribosomal RNA
Source: RNAcentral